This 303-nucleotide ribosomal RNA is filed under the name uncultured bacterium. RNAcentral's name for it is "partial 16S ribosomal RNA". It matches the Rfam family "Bacterial small subunit ribosomal RNA", at positions 507 to 808 of the family's 1533-position model. The record is from RNAcentral.
AGCAGCAGCCGCGGGAACACGUAGGUGGCGAGCGUUGUCCGGAAUUAUUGGGCGUAAAGGGAGCGCAGGCGGACAUAUAAGUCCAUCUUAAAAGUGCGGGGCUCAACCCCGUGAGGGGAUGGAAACUGUAUGCCUUGAGUGCAGGAGAGGAAAGCGGAAUUCCCAGUGUAGCGGUGAAAUGCGUAGAUAUUGGGAGGAACACCAGUGGCGAAGGCGGCUUUCUGGACUGUAACUGACACUGAGGCGCGAAAGCGUGGGGAGCAAACAGGAUUAGAUACCCCAGUAGUCCCUGUCUCUUAUACA